This 2237-nucleotide long non-coding RNA is filed under the name Nicotiana benthamiana. RNAcentral's name for it is "long non-coding RNA (NBEN_LNC022071)". The record is from RNAcentral. Lineage: Eukaryota; Viridiplantae; Streptophyta; Magnoliopsida; Solanales; Solanaceae.
AAAAAUUUACGAACUAUUCAGAAACCGCCUCGACACAUAUUAAAACAACCCUUUUCAAUUAGAUUAACAACUUAUAUAAUUACAAAUUUAACUACCCUUAGCCACUCAAUACAAUAGGCUUCAAAUAAGAUUAAAGAGAACCGAGUCACGUGAAGAGAACUAUAACUAAUCGGUAGAGGAAUAACUUUAAAACCCCAAACAACGCAAACCCAAACUUCCAAGAGGCAACAUCAACUGCCUCUCAUUCAACUUUCAUGAAAAUUGAUAUAUUAAUGAACAUUUGAUCAAUCACUAGCAUCACAUCACCACAUACUUAUUUUAAACUCAAUACUUGCUAAUUUGUCCCAUUUGCCAAAUCCACAACUACAGCUAACAUUAAACAAUAAAAGCCUUUAACAAACCUCACUUAGCCAGAACAUUGAGUACGAUUACUGACUAUGCAUGAAAAAAUAUCAUACAGGGCCUAACCUACCUAAUGAUGGUUCAGACUUUAGCACAUAAUAUUAAUGGAUCAGUUAAUGAUGGAUCUAGAUUAUUGGAUCUCUAUUAAUGAACACAAAUCAUUCAACCUUGUAUGAAACCAACGAGCUGAAUUGAAGGUUCAACAUAUGAAUACUAACACCAUAUCACCUCUACUACUAACUGUAGCAUGCUUAACUAAAACUGAUUGGGACAAAGUAAUCACAAAAAAUAAAAACAGAUAGAUUAGAAAAAAAUUAAAUAAUUUCUAUGCUCCAAUUCUUCGUUUUCAUUUCUCAUUCCUCAACUUCACUUCACAAACAAACGAGUUACUGGGUCAUGUACUUGGAAGUAAAAGAAGGAAGGAGAGAAGUGAGGUAUCAGUAAGAACCACAGCAGAGCAACACCAGUUUCAACAGAACAACUCAAAUCAAAGAAGAUUGAUAUGAAGCAGUGGAAGAAACAGUCCCAAUCGAGUUGGGGAUAUGACAACUUCAAACUAGGCUUUGGAAAACCAGAUUUUAAUCCAUUUUAGCUACCUGAAUCAGCAAUCAUUUUAGAAAUCAAAACUUCAAUAAAUCUCAGAACAUGUUCAAUAGAACAAUAAUUAUUUGAACCAGUCAGUUUUUUUUUAAAUUUUUUAUCUCCUCUUGUUUUUUAAUGAGCUUUCCUUAGAAGUGCUUUUAUAGGCAAGGAAAUGGGGAAACAAUUUAGGGAACAAAUUUGCAUUUUAGUCCCUUUUUAAUUUUUAUUUUUGCCCAAAAGUCCCUAUAUUUUUGGCUUGUUUCCCAAACAAGUCUAUUUUGCAGCUUCUAAGAAGCUUCCUCAUGCGGUUAUUCAGAGAUUUUUUGUCUAGAUUACCUAAAUUAUCCUUGACGGCCUCGUAUUCACCAUAGCCUAUUAGCGUAGAAAAAUCCAAGUUCAAUUGAUCCAAGCUAAUGGGUUUAAAAGACCCGGUUCAAUUACUUUCUGGGCUCAUUCAAUCUUUAUGAGCCCAAAUUCAAAUCUAAUAAAGGCUCACCACUUAAAACUCACCCAAAAUUAAUUAACAAAAAAAUUCAAAUCUCAGGAAUCUUAGCCCAAAACCAAAGAAACUAUUUUAUUUAACAAAUAACAACAUAACUAUACUGAUGAAUGAAUUAUGCAUGGCAUGUUGACCCUGAAACAAAUAAACAAAAGAACCAAAAGAAAAAGAAGAAGCAUAGAAGCAGACACAACAGACAUAUUAAUGAAAAGAUGACAAAACAAGAAAGAUACCUAAGAGAUUUGGACAGCAAAAUAGCGAUGAACCUUCAAACUUUUCAGAUUUAGGAUUAAUCUGAGAUUAAGCAUGUGUUUUCUCAUCAAAAACACAUGAAUAACCUCAAAUGAGCCUAAUACUUCAACGAGAACUUCAAUCGGGCAAAACUGGAAUUUUAUGGUUAAACUUGAUUCCAAGAUUCGAGGGCUUCCAGGGAAAUUCGAAGGAAACUGGUUUCAGGUUUGGGAAGAAGAGGUCAAGGAGGUGACCUGGUGUUAUUUUGGGUGCAUUUGGAGGUGGCGCCACCACCGGAGAAACUAUGGUGGCACUAGGGUUUCUAAGAUUUGAAACUUUCUACAAGUAAUUGAGCAGAAUGGAGCGUGGAUAUGGGAUGGGGAGAUGGAGGAGAAGUCGUGGUGUUAAUUUUCGUGAGGAAUGGUCAUCGGCCGCUGCCGUGGGGCAAUCUCCGGCAGGUGGCAGGCGGCGACAAUGAAAGGGGUCUCUGGUGAGUGUUGUGAGAGAUGACUGAGGGGUAGAG